This 66-nucleotide transfer RNA is filed under the name Mesomachilis nearcticus. RNAcentral's name for it is "tRNA-Leu". The record is from RNAcentral. Lineage: Eukaryota; Metazoa; Arthropoda; Insecta; Archaeognatha; Machilidae.
ACUAAUUUGGCAGAAAAGUGCAUCGAAUUUAAGCUUCGAAUAUAAAACUCACCAUUUUAUUUAGUA